Molecule: long non-coding RNA, 299 nt
Organism: Zophobas morio
Lineage: Eukaryota; Metazoa; Arthropoda; Insecta; Coleoptera; Tenebrionidae
Exons: 4
Source: RefSeq, a predicted model, not a curated record
CUUUCAUAAUUUGAUCUCUGCCAUUUCGAGAUUUUAUGCUCUUUUUACAAUAAAGUUUCAAAAAGGUAUUUCAAGGCGAAAAAAACUUAACCGAUCUCUACUAAGAAGGCUAAUAGCUAUUACUUUUCAACUAUUUUUUAUUGACGAAGGCCCUUUUAUGAAAAUUUCUAAUAAUGUGGUUAACUUGGGACUUCUCCAACAAGAAAAACCCAAACUUAGGACGAAAUCUUUCUCAGAUUUCGCCGAUACAAAUAAUAAUGGAUUUAUGGAUUAUAAUUUAAAUAGUUAUUUAUUUCAAU